UACGGGGGGGGCAAGCGUUGUUCGGAAUUACUGGGCGUAAAGGGCUCGUAGGCGGGUAAGUAAGUCCGUGGUGAAAUCUCUGAGCUUAACUCAGAAACUGCCGUGGAUACUAUUUGCCUUGAAUAUUGUGGAGGUGAGCGGAAUAUGUCAUGUAGCGGUGAAAUGCUUAGAUAUGACAUAGAACACCAAUUGCGAAGGCAGCUCACUACACAAUCAUUGACGCUGAGGCACGAAAGCGUGGGGAUCAAACAGG
RNAcentral lists this ribosomal RNA (253 nucleotides) under uncultured bacterium. RNAcentral describes it as "partial 16S ribosomal RNA". It matches the Rfam family "Bacterial small subunit ribosomal RNA", at positions 524 to 776 of the family's 1533-position model. The record is from RNAcentral.